Molecule: long non-coding RNA, 1271 nt
Filed under: Chloebia gouldiae (Gouldian finch)
Lineage: Eukaryota; Metazoa; Chordata; Aves; Passeriformes; Passeridae
Description: Erythrura gouldiae (Gouldian finch) lncRNA (ENSEGOG00005001541.1)
Source: RNAcentral
AUGACUUCAGUUCCUUCAAGAAAACAGAAUGUUUAUGCGUCAUAUUCUCUUCAUUCAAGUCGUCCUUCCACUUCUGAAACGAUGGAGGCAAUGGAGAUUGAUCCUGUACCUUCACCAAUGAGGAGACUGGAGACACCAACUGGUCCAACAAGAUUAUCAGUAAUAACUCCACCACAGGAUGGACGCAUGGGUAGUGUAUCCUACAGGAGUUCUCAGAUAGCUCUAAUAAAGCCAAGUCAGUGUAUUGGAGCAGGAUCUACAAGAUCCACCCCUGUGGUGAGAUUACCACAUAGUGCUUGUCCAUCAUCAUCUGGAUCCCAAAGCAGUCAAAGGGGAUCGUGGGCUAUUUCUGAUUUCAGAACCCCUCAGCUGUACCCAUUUACAUCACCUUCCCCUCAGCUGCCUCUGUCAAGGCAGCCAAUCACCAUCUGUGGACGUCUGCAAAGACAGCAAGGAUCAACUAAUUUAGGAGGACAUUCAGCAGAGAGAUGAGCAAACAUCUGUGAAUUGUUUUGGUUAAGAAGCAUCUGGAGAAGCAGUGCAUAGUCUGUGGAUAUCAAAGUAUUUGUAACUUCCAUGAUACGUCAAAUUGGCAUAAACCAGCAAAUUGUUCAGCAUGAAUACUGCAUUUAAAACAUCAUUGAUAUUUCUGAUUAACACCUACUGAUGUUUUAGAUGGGAGUACAAAAUUUUCUUGUUUUCUGAAAUUCUGGCUUCAAGAGCAUUUUUUGCUGCAGGAUAAAUAGUAGUGCCUGUACAGUAUUAUAGAUAAACUUCAAUCCUAAAAAAAAAGACAUUUCUUUAUGGAUUUUUGAUUACAGAAUUCCAAAAUUUGGUUCUUACUCAAUGCAUCUCCUUUUGUUUGCAUUCUUGAAAAGAGGUAAGUUUUGAGGGAUAUUACAUUCUAGCAGGCUCUGCUGAGCUCAGAACACAGUAUCUGUUCCAUGCUUGUCAAAGUUCACUAUUUGAUUUAGGUAGCAACAAUUUCUUCCCAAAAUGGAAGGAAAUGGGGGAACUGGAAUGAAGUGACAAAACACAGCAAAGAAUACUUUUACUUUUGCACAGGAAUAGCAGCUGGAGGCUCUGAAUGAAGGGUGCCAGAAUUUUCUUUUCUGAGAACAACUCUGGAAUUCAUAUGCCCUCCAUCACUGUGUAUGUGGCAAAAUUUUGGUAUGACUGAGUCAUCAAAUGCCUUUGUUUUGUUUUGACCCUAACUUUACGACUAUUUUAAGUAUAAUAAAACUAAAAGCUGGUGUGUUUUUUUGAGAUAA